UGAAUUUGUACGUUUACAAACCAGUA
Molecule: non-coding RNA, 26 nt
Filed under: Mus musculus (house mouse)
Lineage: Eukaryota; Metazoa; Chordata; Mammalia; Rodentia; Muridae
Source: RNAcentral